This 73-nucleotide transfer RNA is filed under the name Paramuricea clavata. It matches the Rfam family "tRNA". Rfam says of the family: Transfer RNA (tRNA) molecules are approximately 80 nucleotides in length. The record is from Rfam by way of RNAcentral. Lineage: Eukaryota; Metazoa; Cnidaria; Anthozoa; Malacalcyonacea; Plexauridae.
GACUACGUAGCUCAGUUGGAAGAGCAUUGGGCUAGUAUUCCAAAGGUUGUAGGUUCGAAUCCCACCGUGGCCG